This 28-nucleotide non-coding RNA is filed under the name Homo sapiens (human). Lineage: Eukaryota; Metazoa; Chordata; Mammalia; Primates; Hominidae. The record is from RNAcentral.
AGAGGGGCUGCCAGCGGAGUCUCCAGAC